AUUGAACGCUGGCGGCAUGCCUUACACAUGCAAGUCGAACGGUAACAGGUCUUCGGAUGCUGACGAGUGGCGAACGGGUGAGUAAUACAUCGGAACGUGCCCAGACGUGGGGGAUAACGAGGCGAAAGCUUUGCUAAUACCGCAUACGAUCUAAGGAUGAAAGCAGGGGACCGCAAGGCCUUGCGCGUUUGGAGCGGCUGAUGGCAGAUUAGGUAGUUGGUGGGAUAAAAGCUUACCAAGCCGACGAUCUGUAGCUGGUCUGAGAGGACGACCAGCCACACUGGGACUGAGACACGGCCCAGACUCCUACGGGAGGCAGCAGUGGGGAAUUUUGGACAAUGGGCGAAAGCCUGAUCCAGCAAUGCCGCGUGCAGGAUGAAGGCCUUCGGUU
Molecule: ribosomal RNA, 391 nt
Filed under: uncultured bacterium
Lineage: Bacteria
Description: bacterial SSU rRNA
Rfam family: Bacterial small subunit ribosomal RNA
Source: RNAcentral